Long non-coding RNA from Cavia porcellus (domestic guinea pig), 861 nucleotides. RefSeq lists it as uncharacterized. The transcript has 2 exons. The record is from RefSeq and is a predicted model, not a curated record. Lineage: Eukaryota; Metazoa; Chordata; Mammalia; Rodentia; Caviidae.
UUCUUUUCUUUUCUUUUUUUUUUUUUUGGUCUUUUUCCUUUUCAUCGGUACCAGGGAUCGAACUCACGACUGCCUGCUUGCAGGGCAGGCGCUUAUGCCACUGAGCUAAAUCCCCAGCCCCUCAUUUUUCAAGACUACUGGUCACCUUGCUGAAAGUCGGUCUCUGGAGUUUAUUCCUGUUGAGCUGUUGAACUCUUUGGAGCUGUAGUUAUACAUGGUUUGAGCAGCCUUCCCCUCUGCAGCUCCUCACUACCUCACAUCUGCUCAGCAUCACCUCAUCGUCACCAUUCUGCGACUUUACAGUAUUAGUGUUCUUCAACUCCACAGAUAAGGAUCAAACUCGUGACCUGGUGCUUGCCGGGCAGGCACUUGUGCUGCUGAGCUAUAUCCCUGGCCCGAAAUUUUAAAGACAUAGGUGUAGGCAGAGAGUUCAUGAACAAAACUCAAACUGCACAGGAGGUACUUCAAAUAAUCAACAAUGGGGAUCUCAUCUUAUUUAAAAGCUUUUGCACAUAAAAAAAAAAAUCAUCACCAGCAGAGUGAAAGACAGCUCACAAAAUGGGGAAAAAUGUUAGCCAACUGACCUUCCGACAGAGGACUUAUGUCUGUAAUCUAUAAAGGACUGAAAAAAGUCAGACCCUCAGAUUUCAAAGGUCCAAUCCAAAAAUGGACAUCUGUGUGCUUCUUAGAUUGAAGAACAAAUAGCAAAUAAAUAUAUGAAAAAAUGAUAAACAUCAUUGGUUGUUUGAGAGAUGCAGAUUAUUCCAUGUAAUUUUUUAAAACCCUGUAAACUUGGUUUUUAAAUUUUACUUUACAGAGAAAAAAUUUGUAUUUUAAACAGAAGUAAAAAUUUCAAAACAA